RNAcentral lists this ribosomal RNA (358 nucleotides) under uncultured bacterium. RNAcentral's name for it is "partial 16S ribosomal RNA". It matches the Rfam family "Bacterial small subunit ribosomal RNA", at positions 338 to 710 of the family's 1533-position model. The record is from RNAcentral.
CCUACGGGCGGCAGCAGUGGGGAAUAUUGGGCAAUGGAGGCAACUCUGACCCAGCAAUGCCGCGUGAGUGAUGAAGGUAAUUUUAUUGUAAAGCUCUUUUCUUUGGAACGAAUAAAUGACGGUACCAAAGGAAUAAGCCCCGGCUAACUACGUGCCAGCAGCCGCGGUAAUACGUAGGGGGCGAGCGUUGUGCGGAAUGACUGGGGGUAAAGGGUGUGUGGGUGGUUUGAGAAGUUAGAUGGGUAAUACCCAGGCGUUAACUCGGGUGCUGCAUCUAAAACUGUUAGACUUUAGUACUGGCGAGGAAGGUGGAAUAAGUAAAGUAGCGGUGGAAUGCAUAGAUAUUAGUUAGAACAUC